This is a non-coding RNA of Echinostoma caproni, 84 nucleotides long. The record is from Rfam. NCBI's taxonomy places the organism in Eukaryota, Metazoa, Platyhelminthes, Trematoda, Plagiorchiida, Echinostomatidae.
GGCCUCGUAGCUCGGCUGAUAGAGAGUGCGUUUUACAAAGGCGUAGGCGGCGUCCAUGCGUGGGUUCGAAUCCCACCGAGGCUA